RNAcentral lists this ribosomal RNA (125 nucleotides) under Escherichia coli. Lineage: Bacteria; Pseudomonadati; Pseudomonadota; Gammaproteobacteria; Enterobacterales; Enterobacteriaceae. The record is from RNAcentral.
UCUGGCGGCAGUAGCGCGGUGGUCCCACCUGACCCCAUGCCGAACUCAGAAGUGAAACGCCGUAGCGCCGAUGGUAGUGUGGGGUCUCCCCAUGCGAGAGUUGCGAGAGUAGGGAACUGCCAGAC